AGAGUUUGAUCAUGGCUCAGGACGAACGCUGGCGGCGUGCUUAACACAUGCAAGUGGUGCGACGAACCAGGGCUUGCCCUGGGGCUAAGCCGCGAACGGGUGAGUAACACGUGAGUAAUCUGCCCCGAUGACCGGGACAACCCGAGGAAACUCGGGCUAAUACCGGAUGUGGUGCACAGGUUUAAGCUUGUGUACUAAAGGAAGCUUCGGCCUCCGCAUUGGGAGGAGCUCGCGGCCCAUUAGCUUGUUGGUGGGGUAACGGCCUACCAAGGCAACGAUGGGUAGCUGGUCUGAGAGGACGAUCAGCCACACUGGGACUGAGACACGGCCCAGACUCCUACGGGAGGCAGCAGUGGGGAAUCUUGCGCAAUGCGCGAAAGCGUGACGCAGCAACGCCGCGUGGGGGAAGACGGCCUUCGGGUUGUAAACCCCUUUCAGGAGGGACGAAGGUUCACCGGUGAAUAGCCGUGUGGAUUGACGGUACCUCCACAAGAAGCUCCGGCUAACUACGUGCCAGCAGCCGCGGUAAUACGUAGGGAGCAAGCGUUGUCCGGAAUCAUUGGGCGUAAAGCGCGCGUAGGUGGCUCUAUAAGUCCGUUGUGAAAGUCAAAGGCUCAACCUUUGAAAGCCGAUGGAUACUGUAGAGCUAGAGUCCGGAAGAGGCGAGUGGAAUUCCUGGUGUAGCGGUGGAAUGCGCAGAUAUCAGGAGGAACACCAAUAGCGAAGGCAGCUCGCUGGGACGUGACUGACACUAAGGCGCGAAAGCGUGGGGAGCGAACAGGAUUAGAUACCCNNGUAGUCC
This 802-nucleotide ribosomal RNA is filed under the name uncultured bacterium. Its description in RNAcentral is "bacterial SSU rRNA". It matches the Rfam family "Bacterial small subunit ribosomal RNA", at positions 8 to 796 of the family's 1533-position model. The record is from RNAcentral.